RNAcentral lists this ribosomal RNA (564 nucleotides) under Chalaropsis thielavioides. Its description in RNAcentral is "LSU rRNA". It matches the Rfam family "Eukaryotic large subunit ribosomal RNA", at positions 62 to 648 of the family's 3401-position model. Lineage: Eukaryota; Fungi; Ascomycota; Sordariomycetes; Microascales; Ceratocystidaceae. The record is from RNAcentral.
AAACCAACAGGGAUUGCCCUAGUAACGGCGAGCGAAGCGGCAACAGCUCAAAUUUGAAAUCUGGCUACUUUGUAGUCCGAGUUGUAAUUUGUAGAGGAUGCUUUUGGUGAGGUGCCUUCCGAGUUCCCUGGAACGGGACGCCAGAGAGGGUGAGAGCCCCGUACGGUUGGAUACCAAACCUUUGUAUAGCUCCUUCGACGAGUCGAGUAGUUUGGGAAUGCUGCUCUAAAUGGGAGGUAUAUCUCUUCUAAAGCUAAAUAUAGGCUAGAGACCGAUAGCGCACAAGUAGAGUGAUCGAAAGAUGAAAAGCACUUUGAAAAGAGAGUUAAACAGCACGUGAAAUUGUUGAAAGGGAAGCGCCUAUGACCAGACUUGUUUCUUUCAGUUUUGUUAGUUCUCGGACUGAUUUACUCUGUUAGUACAGGCCAGCAUCAGUUUGUUGUCGGGGAGAAAGGCUUAGGGAAUGUGGCUCUUUCGGGAGUGUUAUAGCCCUUUGCAUAAUACCCUUCGGCAGACUGAGGACCGCGCUUCGGCAAGGAUGCUGGCGUAAUGGUCAUCAGCGAC